Molecule: long non-coding RNA, 2655 nt
Organism: Pecten maximus
Lineage: Eukaryota; Metazoa; Mollusca; Bivalvia; Pectinida; Pectinidae
Exons: 2
Source: RefSeq, a predicted model, not a curated record
GGUUAAUGUGGUCAACCUCGGUAUAAAGAUCACCCCGCUAUUCAGACCAUUUUCACUCAGUCCCACAGGUGGUCAUAAUAGAGAGGUUUGUUGUUGUUCAUAUUUACUCAAAAUCUUGGUAUUUUUAUUUAUAUACAUACAUUUGUACAUAGAUAAGUUACAGAGAAGUUAAAGAUAUGGGGACAAUGAGACGGACACGAACAUUCCAGUUAAUAUAAACACAUCCAUUAUUAUCAAAUUAGCGUAAAUGUUUUCAACGUUUAAACAAAAUCUAUGAGCCUAGUGUAUGUAAAUUUCUAAGAGGUUAGCGAUUUAGGGACAGCGAGGCAAAGACGAAAUUACAUAUUAAAAUUCCAGUUAAUAUUAACACAUCCAUAUUGAUCAAAUUAUUGUAAAUGUUUUCAUCCUUAAAAAAUAUUAAUGAGAACCAGAAAAAAUAACAUCCACAGAUACGACAUGUACCUAUUAAUUUAAGCAAACAGACCAACUGCAUCGCUCUGGGCCUCAAAUUCACAUGACGUACUACAUACUACUCAAUACAAUAGUUGUUUCAGGUUUUAAGUAAUAAAUUGAAUAAAAAGGGUGUUUUUGUACUGGUCUACAUGUUUAUAUUAAUUACAUAUAUCGAUGCUUACUUAUGGCAAUAGUCACAGUAAAUUAGCAUUUGAAUUAAUCAAAUUACGACAUGUAAUUCAUAGUAUUAUAUCAUUAUCAUUAUAUUUUAUAUCAUAAUAUUACGUUGAUCACUCUCCUUUUUACAGGUAUUCGUAUGACGUACUGAUACAUAAUCACAUGCUGGUAUUUUCACCUACGGGACGAAAGGCCUACGGGAUAAAUCAACUGAACCGAACAUGUGGUUUUAAAGUUUAUAAAUGGCUUUGAUGAUAUCAUUUUUAUUCCUCUAAAUAUUUCUUUAUAUAUUUAUAUGUAUGUGUCAUAUACUCGGAUUUGAUUAAUUGUUUUAAUUAGACUGAUUUAAACAUCCUCUUCCUUGUCUACACCUAUACAUGAUUUACCUACAUUAUUACGUUGUGAAACAGAUUCCAAGAAUCUGAAAGGAUUGUAUGAUGUGAAAGCAUCCUGUUACAUUACAUACAGUGUCGCCGGAGUAGGGGAGAUAACCUCGUACCUUAUACUCCAUAUCGAGCAGGAAAACGGUUAGUCUAAAUUGGAAAUUUGGUUUCAGCAAAAUGAUUAGACAAUAGACAGUGUCUUUAUAAGUCUUGAGAGGUUUGAAAUUCGUAGGUACACGCACGGGAAUCCUUGGAUGAGGAUCCGUGGGUUGGGAUUCAUUUGAGAUGGUUCGUGUGUCGGAAUCCGAGGGUGGGGAUCCGUGGGUGGGGAUCCGUGAGUGGGGUUCCGAGGGUUGGGGAUGUAACUAAAUUAUACUACUCUUUCUGCCUCAUUAACGCAGAAAAGUUGUAAGUUUAUUGUCAGACACUGUCCUACAUAUAUGUAUAUUUAUAUACGUUUAUUUAAUUUCCAGUGAUCCGUGAGAAAGGUGGUCACAACUGAUUGACAUGUUAUUGUGGAUAUCGGCCUAAUGGCGAGUGUAGAUAACGGAAUGAAAACGUCACAAGUAAGGUUUGUUUCCGGUACUUUGUCCCACUUCCUUUAUAACAUCGCCUCUGGAGUAUUGUCAACACACAGAUAACGGCAGAUCCAAGAAAUAUGGCGACUAUAAUUAUUGAAAUUUUCGGAAGUGGAUAAAUAUUCGACGGUAACGGAAAUACAACAGACUUAGAAAAAAUUAUCAGAGAGAGAAAACAAACAAUUGAGAAUCCGACACGCUCUCCGGAAUCUGCCGGCAGCAAGAAUACCAAUAAAUUUAGUAUGCAAACCAUGAUAAUUGGUGAAUAUGCCAUCAACUGGUAUAAUCCAUGUUUCCUGGAGAUUUGGAUCUCGACGUUAACGUAAACUUUGUUUCUCUUAUCAACAACCGCUACUGAGGACGAUAUGUAAUUCCAAAUGUCAUUUUUUACUAUAUCGGUGACGUCAACAGUCGAUGUAGCCGGAAUGAGCCGCAAUUGCGAUGACGUCAGUCCUAGGGGCGAGAGAACAAUUGAACACGUAUGAACGUCAAAUGGAUAACCAGUGACGUCAUAAUUACAUAUUGCCCUUAGUUUGUCAUCAAAAGUCCAGACGGCGGUCCCGUCAUAUACAAACCGUACGUCGUGGUUUGAAUGAUCUGAAUUAUCCGAGGAGUCGAAGUUAUUGAUCACAGUGAACUUUGGUGUCCAAACAGAAUGACUCGGAACAGUAAUACUGAACGCAUCUCCGCGCAUGCUCGGCGUCCAUGCCAUCCUUGGGUCAUUCCACUGAGUAGUGACACUUCCUAUAACAGUAAACUCUCCCGUUGUCAUGUCAACGGUCUUGAUGAAAUUCAAACUGAAUGUCAAGGUCAUAUUUGUUGUCUGCUGCUGGUCGAUGGCUGUCGGACGUAUCCUGACAUCAUAUCCUGUUAGCAAGUCUGUGUAGAGUGACGUCACAUCCGCUAUUGUUUCUGCUGUCACGACCUUCACAUCCAGUGAAAUUAAAAAAAUCACUAUUCUUAAUAAGAUCUGUGACAUGUUUUUGUGUUUUUGUUAACAUGACAUUCCACCGGUGUGUCCGAUUCCAGCACACACUUCGUAAUUAAACCUCAUCUCAGACCUA